RNAcentral lists this ribosomal RNA (228 nucleotides) under uncultured bacterium. RNAcentral's name for it is "partial 16S ribosomal RNA". It matches the Rfam family "Bacterial small subunit ribosomal RNA", at positions 568 to 795 of the family's 1533-position model. The record is from RNAcentral.
CGCGUAGGCGGUCUGUUAAGUCUGAUGUGAAAGCCCCGGGCUCAACCCGGGAAGUGCAUUGGAUACUGGCAGACUUGAGUACGGGAGAGGGAAGUGGAAUUCCGAGUGUAGGAGUGAAAUCCGUAGAUAUUCGGAGGAACACCGGUGGCGAAGGCGGCUUCCUGGACCGAUACUGACGCUGAGACGCGAAAGCGUGGGGAGCAAACAGGAUUAGAUACCCUGGUAGUC